Molecule: long non-coding RNA, 626 nt
Filed under: Mytilus galloprovincialis (Mediterranean mussel)
Lineage: Eukaryota; Metazoa; Mollusca; Bivalvia; Mytilida; Mytilidae
Source: RNAcentral
AUUUAUAAAAUAUAAGGCAACUUUUUCAUAUUUUCUUAUAUAGUUAAAAAUAAAGCGCGCUAUUCAAAUUGCAUUACUCCUAUGUCGUUUUAUUUAAGAUUUAAAUGUUUCUUUUUGUAAUUUUAUAAGAAUUUCAAAUGUCAACCAAAGCACGUUUUGUAUGAAACGUGGAAGCGCAUUACACUUAAAUGUACACACGGUUCUGAUAUUAAAAACACAUCAAACAUAAAAAAAAAACAUUUAAUUAAGAUAAUAACAUUUCAAUGCUAAAAUCCGGAAAUGACGACUGAAAUCAAGCUUUUCGUUGGUGUUAUUUCAGAUAACUAUUGAAUCAUGUAUUAAAAAGAUCUUAUAAAAGUAGUGUUACCCUUUACACAUAUUGAUGUACCUGUCUCAAUUCAGGAAAAUCAUCAGUUGUUGUCUGAUGACAUGUCUUAAUGUUUUUUGCUAUUUGGAGAAUUUGGUGUUGAUGGCAGAUCUUCGAUUGUUUCUGUGUAAUUUAUUAACAAUUUGUAUAGACUCUGAACCAUUUAGAGCUGAUAUAUUGAUAGUUUUACAUUGACAUAAGAGCGAGAGUUGUUUCCCUUUUUCGCCAUUUUGUAAAGCAAUGUACACAAAAUCCUUAA